Molecule: long non-coding RNA, 889 nt
Filed under: Olea europaea subsp. europaea
Lineage: Eukaryota; Viridiplantae; Streptophyta; Magnoliopsida; Lamiales; Oleaceae
Source: RNAcentral
AUGAAUUAAUCUUCACCUACGGAAUAUCGUUGAUGAAGAGGUUUUUGAAAAAUAUGACUACCCUUGAUGAAUGGUUGCAUUUUUCUAAUUAUUAAAAUUGAGUAGUAUUAAUUAGCAAUGAAUUUUUCAUAGGUAAUAGCAAUUAAUCUCCACCUACAAGAGCUUGAAAUACCUUUUUAACGAAAAUGAUUUACGUGAAGGAUUCAAUUACUAAACGAUUACAUUAUGUACGGAAUAUUCGUUAGUAAAAAGAAAUAAACUUUACCAAUAAAUGUUCCGUUGUUGAUUGCCGUAGUUAAAAAUAGAUUACUGCCCAUGUUUCCUUUGAUGUGGUGGUAGGUGCAAUUCUUGAGAAAACAGUCUCAUGAACCAUUUGUUGGAUGGAGAACAACACCUUUGAGUCCAUCUUUCUCUUUUCCCUCAACUGAUUUUCUUUACCUGGAUCAACAAACCCAUUUUUUACUGAGUUCCAUAGAUCUUGGGACUUGAAUUUGAUGCUCCAAAACUCAUAACUCUCUCCUUUGAAAAUAGGGAUGGUAAAUUGUGAAACGCUCACUAAAUUUCCAUUUGAAGCCAUGAUAUUUCUCUCUUUCUCUUGAGUAUUGUACCUAAUUAGGCUCUGUUGAAUCUAAACGUGUCUCUGAUACCACAAAUGUCGGAAAUCUAGAUAGCAAAUUAUUAAAAGGAAAUUGCAAAGAGGAAAUAACACUAAAAAAUGCAGAAAAUGCAAGUUAUCUACUACCAGUUGUAUUCUAGAGCUAUAUAUAUUAUAUAGGCUUACAAGCAAAAAAAAAAAAAAGAAAAAAAAAAGGAAAUCUCAACUAACAUUAGAUAUUCCACUACUUGCAGACUUAUUUUAUUAAGGAAAAAUAGAGAAUUAAGAAGCAAG